RNAcentral lists this ribosomal RNA (335 nucleotides) under uncultured Rhodococcus sp. Its description in RNAcentral is "bacterial SSU rRNA". It matches the Rfam family "Bacterial small subunit ribosomal RNA", at positions 1050 to 1382 of the family's 1533-position model. Lineage: Bacteria; Bacillati; Actinomycetota; Actinomycetes; Mycobacteriales; Nocardiaceae. The record is from RNAcentral.
UGUCGUCAGCUCGUGUCGUGAGAUGUUGGGUUAAGUCCCGCAACGAGCGCAACCUUGUCUUAUGUUGCCAGCACGUGAUGGUGGGGACUCGUAAGAGACUGCCGGGGUCAACUCGGAGGAAGGUGGGGACGACGUCAAGUCAUCAUGCCCCUUAUGUCCAGGGCUUCACACAUGCUACAAUGGCCAGUACAGAGGGCUGCGAGGACCGUGAGGUGGAAGCGAAUCCCUUAAAGCUGGUCUCAGUUCGGAUCGGGGUCUGCAACUCGACCCCGUGAAGUCGGAGUCGCUAGUAAUCGCAGAUCAGCAACGCUGCGGUGAAUACGUUCCCGGGCCUU